RNAcentral lists this transfer RNA (72 nucleotides) under Caudoviricetes sp. RNAcentral describes it as "tRNA-OTHER". It matches the Rfam family "tRNA". Rfam says of the family: Transfer RNA (tRNA) molecules are approximately 80 nucleotides in length. Their secondary structure includes four short double-helical elements and three loops (D, anti-codon, and T loops). Lineage: Duplodnaviria; Heunggongvirae; Uroviricota; Caudoviricetes. The record is from RNAcentral.
GCAGACGUAGCUCAGUCGGUAGAGCACCGCACCGGGAGGUAUGCGCAGGUUCAAAUCCUGCCGUCUGCACCA